UACGUAGGGUGCAGGCGUUAAUCGGAAUUACUGGGCGUAAAGCGUGCGCAGGCGGUUUGUUAAGACAGAUGUGAAAUCCCCGGGCUUAACCUGGGAACUGCGUUUGUAACUGGCAAGCUAGAGUGUGGCAGAGGGGGGUGGAAUUCCAAGUGUAGCAGUGAAAUGCGUAGAUAUUUGGAGGAACACCAAUGGCGGAGGCAGCCCCCUGGGUUAACACUGACGCUCAUGCACGAAAGCGUGGGGAGCAAACAGG
This 253-nucleotide ribosomal RNA is filed under the name uncultured bacterium. RNAcentral describes it as "partial 16S ribosomal RNA". It matches the Rfam family "Bacterial small subunit ribosomal RNA", at positions 524 to 776 of the family's 1533-position model. The record is from RNAcentral.